This 198-nucleotide ribosomal RNA is filed under the name uncultured soil bacterium. Its description in RNAcentral is "partial 16S ribosomal RNA". It matches the Rfam family "Bacterial small subunit ribosomal RNA", at positions 26 to 224 of the family's 1533-position model. The record is from RNAcentral.
AGGACGAACGCUGGCGGCGUGCUUAACACAUGCAAGUCGAGCGGUAAGGCCUUUCGGGGUACACGAGCGGCGAACGGGUGAGUAACACGUGGGUGAUCUGCCCUGCACUUCGGGAUAAGCCUGGGAAACUGGGUCUAAUACCGGAUAUGACCUCCUAUCGCAUGGGUGGGUGGUGGGAAGUAUUUAGUCGGUGGCAGG